AAUAGGAAAGCAUCUUAAGUUUGAUGAAACAAAUGUCUUCUAGUUCAUUCAAUGAUGGAGGUUGUACAGCUGCGAGUGUUGCAUCCAUCGAAAAAUCUUUGAUUGAGGCUAGUCAUGAUCGAGAGAAACUACUACUCCAAGAGAUUACAACACUACAAGGGAGGUUGAUUCGUAUUGAAGAAGAGCUCCAAAAAUCUAAACUUCAAGUUGCACAUGUCGAUGAUGGUUGACUUUAGAAAUGAAUUACGAAAGAUGGAAGACUAGUCUCUAGUUUAAUAAUACAAAUGACAGCAUUUAUACAAGGCAUGAUUAUUGUGGAACUAUUUUUCUUCAUUAUAUCUAGGCAAGUCUAAUCUCCUAAGGCAUUGUACAGAUUGAAUUUGAAGACAUUAUGUUAUUUGUACAUAAUAUUUAUAA
Molecule: long non-coding RNA, 417 nt
Organism: Beta vulgaris subsp. vulgaris (sugar beet)
Lineage: Eukaryota; Viridiplantae; Streptophyta; Magnoliopsida; Caryophyllales; Amaranthaceae
Exons: 4
Source: RefSeq, a predicted model, not a curated record